This 64-nucleotide transfer RNA is filed under the name Loliolus beka. RNAcentral's name for it is "tRNA-His". Lineage: Eukaryota; Metazoa; Mollusca; Cephalopoda; Myopsida; Loliginidae. The record is from RNAcentral.
AGUAAAGUAAACAUUUAUUUAUCUAUAAAUCCACAACUUAUCAUUUUAUUUAAACUAACUUUAC